RNAcentral lists this ribosomal RNA (403 nucleotides) under uncultured Ilumatobacter sp. Its description in RNAcentral is "bacterial SSU rRNA". It matches the Rfam family "Bacterial small subunit ribosomal RNA", at positions 355 to 774 of the family's 1533-position model. The record is from RNAcentral. Lineage: Bacteria; Bacillati; Actinomycetota; Acidimicrobiia; Acidimicrobiales; Ilumatobacteraceae.
UGGGGAAUAUUGCACAAUGGGCGCAAGCCUGAUGCAGCAACGCCGCGUGCGGGAAGAAGGCCUUAGGGUUGUAAACCGCUUUCAGCAGGGAAGAAAAUGACGGUACCUGCAGAAGAAGGUGCGGCCAACUACGUGCCAGCAGCCGCGGUGACACGUAGGCACCAAGCGUUGUCCGGAUUUAUUGGGCGUAAAGAGCUCGUAGGCGGUUCAGUAAGUCGGGUGUGAAAACUCUGGGCUCAACCCAGAGACGCCACCCGAUACUGCUGUGACUUGAGUACGGUAGGGGAGUGGGGAAUUCCUGGUGUAGCGGUGAAAUGCGCAGAUAUCAGGAGGAACACCAGUGGCGAAGGCGCCACUCUGGGCCGUAACUGACGCUGAGGAGCGAAAGCGUGGGUAGCAAACA